GUGGGGUAAAGGCCUACCAAGGCAACGAUCUGUAGUUGGUCUGAGAGGACGACCAGCCACACUGGGACUGAGACACGGCCCAGACUCCUACGGGAGGCAGCAGUGGGGAAUUUUGGACAAUGGGCGCAAGCCUGAUCCAGCAAUGCCGCGUGCAGGAAGAAGGCCUUCGGGUUGUAAACUGCUUUUGUCAGGGAAGAAAUCUUCUGGGCUAAUACCCCGGGGGGAUGACGGUACCUGAAGAAUAAGCACCGGCUAACUACGUGCCAGCAGCCGCGGUAAUACGUAGGGUGCGAGCGUUAAUCGGAAUUACUGGGCGUAAAGCGUGCGCAGGCGGUUUUGCAAGACAGAGGUGAAAUCCCCGGGCUCAACCUGGGAACUGCCUUUGUGACUGCAAGGCUAGAGUACGGCAGAGGGAGAUGGAAUUCCGCGUGUA
Molecule: ribosomal RNA, 433 nt
Filed under: uncultured bacterium
Lineage: Bacteria
Description: bacterial SSU rRNA
Rfam family: Bacterial small subunit ribosomal RNA
Source: RNAcentral